Molecule: long non-coding RNA, 2818 nt
Organism: Zootermopsis nevadensis
Lineage: Eukaryota; Metazoa; Arthropoda; Insecta; Blattodea; Termopsidae
Source: RefSeq, a predicted model, not a curated record
UGCGCAUAAAAAUGGAAUGUCUUAUAUUGUGACACCAUGUGUGCUCGGGAAGGUACCAGCUUGUGAGAGAAAUAUAUUGUCUCCAUAUUCAACCCAGGAGGUGGAAACGGUAUGUUUCUCUCCAACUUUCAUAGUACCGCCCUGAAUGUUGUGAUCUUUAACUAGAUCACAGUUCACCACCAUAAAUGAGAGGAAGAUUUUCAACUUUUGCAGCAACCGGUUUCAACGAAGUUAACUUGGGUGAUCUGCCAUGUAAGUAAGUAAAUUCAGCUCUGUGUAGUCUGUGCCUGCAUAAUGAAGGUUGAUGUGUUGCGUUAUAUCAGACUGCCCAUUGUAUUUGUACUUGUGGUUGGCUCUCAGUUGUCUGUGAGAGAUUUAUAGUAUCGUGUAUGUAUUUAUUUCUCCUUUGCUAGGAGCUACUGAGCCAGAUUACCAUUUUCUUGAAAGGAGGACAUGUUAAAGGACCUAUACCAUUAUGCCACUGAACGUCACUAUGUUUCAUAUAACAUGCCAGUAUGAUUCUUUGAAAAUUUUGUUCGGGAGCCAUGUUUUUUUCAAUACAAGGUUUUGGAAUUUUCUGUGGUAUAAAUUCAAAAGAUACGCGAUCUUUCAUGGUUUACAUCAUUUGCAGAAUGUAAAAUAAUGUCUACUUCACUGUUAUAUUAACAUUCCUACAAAUAUAAACGUUUACAAAAUGGUAACGGCACGCACCUUCUAGGUUAUGUCUGACGAAUUCCAUAAUGGAAUAGGCUUUCUAAUGUAAAUUACUAAAGACAGCCGAGUUUGUAAUUAAUAACAUUUUAGGUUUCGCUGGAUUCUAGUUUCAGACUGGAGCUUUAACAGGAAGUGCGUCAUGGAAUUUCUUUGUAAUGAAAGCGGAAAUUAAUAUUUCCACUCGACGGUGCAGCUCCACCAAUGGUCUGCGGGCCUGAGUUGCAAUCAGUACGACAGGCUACGCGCAGUCACACAGCAACGCGACUCCUUACCUGUCGGACGCAGGUGGCGACAACGGGCCCAAGGAAUCGUAUAAAAGUAAAUAAAAAGGUAACUGUCAGGAAAGAUCUUCAAAAUCCAAACACUACAAGCGAUUCCCAACGAGGCUGAAUGAUACAAGGAGACGCACAGUGGCGUGUGAUUGGCCUUCGGAUCAGCUGCAUGGAUCCAGUCUCAUUUGCUACUAGAACGUUCUACUGAGAACGAAAUGGGUCUUCAUCAUCUUUUCACGUCAACUCCGUUUUAUGCCUAUCGAUCGUACUUCGAGAACAAUCGAAAUGCCCAUCUAGUAAUUGCAUAUCGAGAAACCUCUCAUCUGAAUUACUUCGAGGGGGUGUAGGGGGGGGGACACUAAAUAAUAAUAAUAAUAGACUUCUAGAAUGUUCCGUCCAGGCCCUGCUCCCAUUUACGUUUAAAGGUAGUCAUAUUUAUUUCAAUUUAGUGCAAGCGACACUGGAAAUUAAUCCCAUUAUAAGAAAUUUAAUACAGGCGAGCAUCAUAUUGCGCCAGAUUUCAUUCUCAUCGCCAUGCCAACCUAACCUAACUUUUAUUGCGUAUCUGAACGACCAACACUGGCGUCCUAAACACUUGUAUGUAUAAUUAGAUGUAUUUGAAUUGCCAGGGUUUUUAAAAGCUAACAGUGAUAUUGUUAUGCUUUGUUUCAGGAUUUUGUACUUGCUAGUGAGUGAAGAAAGAACUGCAAGAAGGAUAAAUGUGGUGAAGUGCCUUUUUCACCAUAAUCGUCAUCACCAUCCAUCAUUCGGCAGUAUUAUCAUUACAAAUUUUGCGAACUGAUAAACUCAAUUUACAGGCAGUUAAUCUUUUGCAGUGAGAAAAUGCAAAUAUGGCGCAUUACGUCAUAUUUGAAAUGAAGAGUAAUUCUUGUACCACAGAUGGCAGCACUGCCAUUUUUCUUAAUUUGGCGUAAUUUAAUUAUUCCCAAACGGGAUUAUUAUUAUUAUAAUUGUUUUUCUUUUCUGAUUAAUAUGUUUUUUGACGGAUGUGUGUCCAGACACAGACUGCAAAACUCUUCUCUUGUAAUACCAGUGUUGCUAACCUACAGCGCCUCGACGCUAAUUCCCUCUACAGACUACGCGCGUGACUAAUGCUCGGCCAACUCCUUAACCUCACUUUAUUUUGCUGCAUAUUUGUUUGAUCACUAGGUUACAGGAUUCCACUUGCUGUUACAUGUAUUUGGCAUUAAGAACAAGGAACCCUAUAACUUACCAUCGUGAUAUUAUAAUUAUAAUAUAAUAUAAUUACUUCACAGCACAGUGUGAAAGGAAAUAACCAUGCUUUGUUUAAACUUGUCGAUAUUGUUAUAAUUUUCUGUUCGAAUCCUAAAAGAAUGGCUCAUUAUCUGACUGUUGAUGCUGCUGUGCGUUUAAUAACAUUGUUGAUGUUGCAUUUCAGUGGCGAAGCGGAGUCCAAGUUGCAUCAGGAGAUGCGUCGAACAAGGGGCAUUGCAUCCCAUUCAAUGCCAUUCGCUGUGCUGACGUCAAACAGCGGAAUCGAAAGAAACGUCAACAGAUGGACACACCUGCAUCGGAAAAGACGUCACGAACUCCAGAUCAGCGCGGACAGGCCACGGAGGUUCAACCGGUGUGGCCUCGUUGUCACUUAUCGGCGGUUCUUACGUCAAAUAAAAUCACGCACCUUUAUUAUGUAGUUUGCAUGAAAAUAAAAAGAUUUUUAUUUUCUCUGAGUUAAAUCUGGCACAUAUUAAUAAACUUGAUGUAAAAAAGCAUAUACAGUAAUUCUGAGUUUGUUAAUAUUGUUGUGUGCAUUUAUUUCCACAGAAUACAAACAUUGGUUUUUACAGUGA